ACCCCCUAAAGCAAGGGAAAGCAAGGGUUGAUAGAUACCAGACUGUUCUCACCAAUGGAAGACGAGCAGGUUCUCUGGCCAUCAACAGUCUCCAACUCCAACUCCAACUCCAACUCCAACUCGAUGGUAUCAGCGACGCUUGGUCGAGUGGUGAGCACUCUGCUCAGUGUCCGUCCCAAGAAGCUUCAAGACGCUAUUUCUCGACUCCACUCUCCUCCCAAAAGAGGCUCAUUUGUUACUUUGGAAGAAUCACUGUGGAUUCUUCACACCUACGUUUGAGAAGCAGCUCAGAGGGAGGAUUCUUUGGAUGAAAUCCUCGUUCCCAUUACUCAACAUUCAUUGAAACACAAGGAAUCAAAGCAUGGUAACCAAGCAAUGCUACUUUUUAAUUGGCUUUUUCAAGAUGAAAUUAUUUUCCAAGCUCUUGCAACAAAUCUUGCCGGCAUCAUAAGAAGAAAAGAGGACCGGUAUAUUGCCCUUGGCUGGUGUAUACUUGUGCGUGGUCUUGUAGAGUAUGAGAUUACCAUGAAACAAUUUAUAAAUAAUGGAAUAAAGGACUAGUAUCGUUCAUUACUGAAAAUUUUUUCAUCAUGUAUCAGUCAUCUCAUAUCUAUUGUAUGUAUUGGAAGGUAUGUCUUUUCACAUCAAAAUGUGGCAGUGGCGUUUGGUAACCAGGCAUUUAGCUGCAAGUUGAAGGAAGCUUUUUUUUGUUUGUGUGUAUUGCUUCAGCAUUUGUUGCCUGCUCUGAUUCACCAGUUGUUUUGAUACUGCCUUAUAAUUAUAACUGCAUUCUCUCUUUACCACGCUCAAGCUGCAUGGAUUCCUAAUAGGUUGCCUUUAAUUGAAGUUCAAAUUCUACACACUAUGAUUUCUAUUGUUUGUUUUUCCAUUUAUACGAUAAUUUGCUUCUCAUUUUGGCCUUCCCUCAAUGCUUUGGUGUUUAUUUUUAAUUUUUUGUUUUUUUGGGGGUGGGUUGGUGGCCUUUGGGUUAGCAGUAUCUGGUCAUCUCUAAGUUUGAGCCAUUAAUAUUAUCUGGUGAAGUGUGAGCAUGCUUGGAUAAAGCAUCUUGGAAUUAAUGACUGGGUUCCCACCUGGAGUGGUCUAGUCUCAAUUUGUAGAUGAAGAGGGCAUAAAGAGCUACAAGGAUAUAAUUCUAAAAUGGGGACAACUCUGUCUGGACUUGAAAUCCUUACUUUGUUGUUAAACACUAAUUUAGGGUUGGUUUGGGGUGUUCUAAA
This is a non-coding RNA of Camellia sinensis, 1238 nucleotides long. The record is from RefSeq and is a predicted model, not a curated record. NCBI's taxonomy places the organism in Eukaryota, Viridiplantae, Streptophyta, Magnoliopsida, Ericales, Theaceae.